AUUGAACGCUGGCGGCAUGCCUUACACAUGCAAGUCGAACGGCAGCACGGGUGCUUGCACCUGGUGGCGAGUGGCGAACGGGUGAGUAAUACAUCGGAACACGUCCUGUAGUGGGGGAUAGCCCGGCGAAAGCCGGAUUAAUACCGCAUACGAUCUACGGAUGAAAGCGGGGGACCUUCGGGCCUCGCGCUAUAGGGUUGGCCGAUGGCUGAUUAGCUAGUUGGUGGGGUAAAGGCCUACCAAGGCGACGAUCAGUAGCUGGUCUGAGAGGACGACCAGCCACACUGGGACUGAGACACGGCCCAGACUCCUACGGGAGGCAGCAGUGGGGAAUUUUGGACAAUGGGCGAAAGCCUGAUCCAGCAAUGCCGCGUGUGUGAAGAAGGCCUUCGGGUUGUAAAGCACUUUUGCCCGGAAAGAAAUCCUUGGCCCUAAUACGGUCGGGGGAUGACGGUACCGGAAGAAUAAGCACCGGCUAACUACGUG
This 486-nucleotide ribosomal RNA is filed under the name uncultured bacterium. RNAcentral describes it as "partial 16S ribosomal RNA". It matches the Rfam family "Bacterial small subunit ribosomal RNA", at positions 30 to 507 of the family's 1533-position model. The record is from RNAcentral.